GCCUUCGUGGUGUAAUGGUCAGCACACAGAGCCGGUAAUUCAGAGGUCCGCGGUUCGAUCCCCGGCGAAGGCA
Molecule: non-coding RNA, 73 nt
Organism: Stegodyphus mimosarum
Lineage: Eukaryota; Metazoa; Arthropoda; Arachnida; Araneae; Eresidae
Source: Rfam